CCUACGGGAGGCAGCAGUGGGGAAUCUUGCGCAAUGGGCGAAAGCCUGACGCAGCAACGCCGCGUGCGGGAAGAAGGCUUUCGGGCUGUAAACCGCUUUCAGCAGGAACGAAAAUGACGGUACCUGCAGAAGAAGGAGCGGCCAACUAUGUGCCAGCAGCCGCGGUGAUACAUAGGCUUCAAGCGUUGUCCGGAUUUAUUGGGCGUAAAGAGUUCGUAGGCGGUCAAGUAAGUCGGGUGUGAAAAUUCUGGGCUCAACCCAGAGACGCCACCCGAUACUGCUUAACUUGAGUUCGAUAGGGGAGUGGGGAAUUCCUAGUGUAGCGGUGAAAUGCGCAGAUAUUAGGAGGAACACCGGUGGCGAAGGCGCCACUCUGGAUCGAUACUGACGCUGAGGAACGAAAGCAUGGGUAGCAAACAGGAUUAGAUACCCUGGUAGUCCAUGCCGUAAACGGUGGGCACUAGGUGUGGGUUUCUAUUAACGAAAUCCGCGCCGUCGCUAACGCAUUAAGUGCCCCGCCUGGGGAGUACGGUCGCAAGACUAAAACUCAAAGGAAUUGACGG
RNAcentral lists this ribosomal RNA (563 nucleotides) under uncultured bacterium. RNAcentral describes it as "bacterial SSU rRNA". It matches the Rfam family "Bacterial small subunit ribosomal RNA", at positions 338 to 916 of the family's 1533-position model. The record is from RNAcentral.